AUGGUUUUGGGAGAAAGUAAAAGUGAGCAAAGAAAGAAAAGGGCAAAAUCCACUGCAGAUGAUGGGAGCUGUGGGCAGCUGUGGGCAAGCACAUCCCCCAGCACAGCCCAGGAACCCCACCAUGAUGUUUCCAUCAUUCUUUGGGACCCAGGGGCAGCAGUGGGAGUGGGGAGAAGAAUGGUAGUCCUGCUCCUCAGCCUGGUUGCCUUUGUCCCACAGCCCCUCAGGCCAGGGCCCAUGGGCAUUCCCCAGGGAUUGUCCCCUUGGCUGGAUCCCACAGCUGGUCCCCACAGAGUGUUCCCAUGCCUGGCCCCAGUGUUCAGUCCCAUGCCCAUGAUUCAUUCACACCUGGUCCUGUGGGCACUGCCCCAUGGCUGCUCCCCACACUUGGCCCUCCUGCCUGGUCCCUCUGCUCUGGUCCUCGUGAGUGUUCCCUGCCCGGUCUUCAUACCAGGUUCCCAAGCCUGUUCAGGGGGGCUGCUCUCUGUGGCUGGUCCCUACACCUGGGCCCACAACCAGACCCCAGAGCAGAUCCCCAGACCAUGUCUGCACCCUGGGUCCUCACAGUGGGAGCCCAUGCCUAGUCCCCAUCCCUGUCCUCACACCUGUUCCCAUCUCUGCUUCCUACAUGGGCAGGGCUCUGCAGGCAGCAUCACUGGGAGCCACAGGGCCACCCACGCUGUCACAGGGCCACCCCCAGACAUGCCAUCCCUAUCUGGGGGGACAGCAUCCGUCACUGCAGCAUCCCCAUCCCACCGAGGCUUGGGGCAUCUGCCCUGGACCCCAUCCCUGGGGCAGAGCCUCUGCAGCCCAAGGAAAUCCUGCCCCCUCCCCCUCCAUCCUUUCUUCUCCGCUCCCCCUGUUUCUAAUUCUUUCUCCUCGCCCGUAAUGAGGGGAUUACACGGCAAACUCCAGCAGGACGCCUUUGUGGGGAGACAAUCCGAGUGGGGAAGGCAGUUCGGGGCUUUGUCCGCCCCUGCCCCCCCGGACCCGUGCUGGGGGGACAUUUAG
RNAcentral lists this long non-coding RNA (1011 nucleotides) under Cyanistes caeruleus (blue tit). Its description in RNAcentral is "lncRNA (ENSCCEG00000022641.1)". The record is from RNAcentral. Lineage: Eukaryota; Metazoa; Chordata; Aves; Passeriformes; Paridae.